GACGAACGCUGGCGGCGUGCUUAAUACAUGCAAGUCGAACGGAAGGGCACCUUUGGGGGUACUCGAGUGGCGAACGGGUGAGUAAGACGUGAGUAAGCUGCCCUUGAUUUCCGGAUAACUACAGGAUAGUGGGGAGAAUACCGGAGAGGAAUCCUUGCUGCAGGGCGGGGGUUGGUAAGCUUCGGCGGUUUUGGAUGGACUCGCGUGGUAUCAGCUUGUUGGGUGGGUAGUGGCUUGCCAAGGCUUUGACGGGUAGCGGGCCCGCGAGGGCGACCGGCCACAUUGGGAAUGCUACACGGCCCAGACUCCUACGGGAGGCAGCAGUGGUGAAUAUUGCACAAUGCGCGGAAGCCUGAUGCAACAACGCCGCGUGCAGGAUGACUGCCUUCCGGUUGUACACCGCUUUCAGAAGGGACGAAGCUUGUGGUGACGGUACCUGCAGAAUAAGCACCGGCUAACUACGUG
RNAcentral lists this ribosomal RNA (465 nucleotides) under uncultured bacterium. RNAcentral's name for it is "partial 16S ribosomal RNA". It matches the Rfam family "Bacterial small subunit ribosomal RNA", at positions 28 to 507 of the family's 1533-position model. The record is from RNAcentral.